Molecule: ribosomal RNA, 489 nt
Filed under: uncultured bacterium
Lineage: Bacteria
Description: partial 16S ribosomal RNA
Rfam family: Bacterial small subunit ribosomal RNA
Source: RNAcentral
UUGAACGCUGGCGGCAGGCCUAACACAUGCCAGUCGAACGGUAACAGGAAGAAGCUUGCUUCUUUGCUGACGAGUGGCGGACGGGUGAGUAAUGUCUGGGAAACUGCCUGAUGGAGGGGGAUAACUACUGGAAACGGUAGCUAAUACCGCAUAACGUCGCAAGACCAAAGAGGGGGACCUUCGGGCCUCUUGCCAUCGGAUGUGCCCAGAUGGGAUUAGCUAGUAGGUGGGGUAACGGCUCACCUAGGCGACGAUCCCUAGCUGGUCUGAGAGGAUGACCAGCCACACUGGAACUGAGACACGGUCCAGACUCCUACGGGAGGCAGCAGUGGGGAAUAUUGCACAAUGGGCGCAAGCCUGAUGCAGCCAUGCCGCGUGUAUGAAGAAGGCCUUCGGGUUGUAAAGUACUUUCAGCGGGGAGGAAGGGAGUAAAGUUAAUACCUUUGCUCAUUGACGUUACCCGCAGAAGAAGCACCGGCUAACUCCGUG